UACGGAGGGUGCAAGCGUUAUCCGGAUUCACUUGGUUUAAAGGGUGCGUAGGCGGGCAGUUAAGUCAGUGGUGAAAUCUCCGGGCUCAACCCGGAAACUGCCGUUGAUACUAUCUGUCUUGAAUAACGUUGAGGUGAGCGGAAUAUGUCAUGUAGCGGUGAAAUGCUGAGAUAUGACAUAGAACAACGAUUGCGAAGGCAGCUCACUAAACGCUCAUUGACGCCGAGGCACGAAAGCGUGGGGAUCAAACAGG
RNAcentral lists this ribosomal RNA (253 nucleotides) under uncultured bacterium. RNAcentral describes it as "partial 16S ribosomal RNA". It matches the Rfam family "Bacterial small subunit ribosomal RNA", at positions 524 to 776 of the family's 1533-position model. The record is from RNAcentral.